RNAcentral lists this unclassified non-coding RNA (868 nucleotides) under Bee Macula-like virus. Lineage: Riboviria; Orthornavirae; Kitrinoviricota; Alsuviricetes; Tymovirales; Tymoviridae. The record is from RNAcentral.
GCGUCGGCCAUCAUGGAACUGCUGCUCGAGACCCUAGCCUCUCUGUUCGCUAAGUCACUCCCUUCAGCCAGCUCCACCACCCCCGCUCCCUCUCAAACUUCAGAACCCUCGGCGACCACCGAGAUUAAGGCUGCUGCUCCACAGUCGAAUGCUAUCGUUGCGAGUACUGCUCGGAUUCCUGCUACUCCUUCUGUGGUCGCUUCUCCUCUAUCUCGUGACCCUUGCAUUAAAAUCCCUUUUCAGUUCGCUUUGGGCACUAUCAGCUCCGCGGACGACAAAGGCAUCGACUACGUCUUCUCCAGCAUCCCCCAAUUCGUCAAGCUUGUACUUCCCUACCGUCGAGCCCGUCUCCUCUCUCUUGAGGCCGUGCUCGAGCCUGUCGUCCCGCUGAGGAAUGGCUACUCGAUUAUCCUCUGCUGGACCCAGGCCAACAACACCGUUUCUGGUGCUGAUGCUCUUGCUGUGCCUGGCGCCCAGCUAUUCUCAGUCACCACCUACGCCGUCCUCGCCCAGUCCCAAAUUCUCCCAGCUCCUCUCCACGCCCUUAAUCCAAUGGUCAAAGAUUCCGUCUCCUAUACCGACUCUCCUCGACUGCACCUCUCCCCCUUCAAACUGGACAACUCCGGUGCCGCCCUGCUCGUUCUCCGAGGAGUCCUUGAAGUCUCUUCUCCGGCUCUUAUUGCCAAUACUGCAUGAUCAUGGAUACGUCCCAAACUCAUGCCGCACCUGUUUAAAUUACCUAAAACUUCCCCAACCCCCCGGCGUCACCCGCACCAUCUUCCCGGUGGCUUCCGGCUCACCCUAGGCCGUUGGGUCGCAAGACCGCCCGGCCGGGAGUUUCCAAGUUCUCCAAAAAAAAAAAAAAAAA